CAGUCGCCGCGGUAAUACGUAGGUCCCGAGCGUUGUCCGGAUUUAUUGGGCGUAAAGCGAGCGCAGGCGGUUAGAUAAGUCUGAAGUUAAAGGCUGUGGCUUAACCAUAGUUCGCUUUGGAAAGUGUCAAACUUGAGUGCAGAAGGGGAGAGUGGAAUUCCAUGUGUAGCGGUGAAAUGCGUAGAUAUAUGGAGGAACACCGGUGGCGAAAGCGGCUCUCUGGUCUGUAACUGACGCUGAGGCUCGAAAGCGUGGGGAGCGAACAGGAUUAGAUACCCCCGUAGUCCCUGUCUCUUAUACA
RNAcentral lists this ribosomal RNA (301 nucleotides) under uncultured bacterium. RNAcentral's name for it is "partial 16S ribosomal RNA". It matches the Rfam family "Bacterial small subunit ribosomal RNA", at positions 509 to 808 of the family's 1533-position model. The record is from RNAcentral.